AAGGUACGAGGUCAUGAGGGUUUGAUGUGAGGAGAGGGUGGUCAGAAACCGGAUCAAACCGGUGUCGGUUAAGGAGGGUAAACGUUAGAGCUUUUAACCAUGUUGUACCGGAUUUUGGUAUGGUAGCAAGGAUAACAUCUUUUGGAAGAGGCUUGAAAUGUUUCUGGAAGGACAUGAUGGCAUGAAUCUCCUUGGCUUGGCACCAAAAGCCUUGGAACAGGUAAAGAUGACGAGUUCUCCAACCUCUCUCCUUAGGAAGAGAGUCCAACAUCUCUAAGAACUCGUAGCUUAGCCCUUCUUCUUCUUCUUCUUGGCGCUUCGGGUCUCGGCUUUUGCCUUCUUC
Molecule: long non-coding RNA, 343 nt
Filed under: Brassica napus (rape)
Lineage: Eukaryota; Viridiplantae; Streptophyta; Magnoliopsida; Brassicales; Brassicaceae
Description: long non-coding RNA (BNAP_LNC012653)
Source: RNAcentral